AGAGUGAACGCUGGCGGCAGGCCUAACACAUGCAAGUCGAACGGCAGCACAGAGGAGCUUGCUCCUUGGGUGGCGAGUGGCGGACGGGUGAGGAAUACGUCGGAAUCUGCCUAUUUGUGGGGGAUAACGUAGGGAAACUUACGCUAAUACCGCAUACGACCUACGGGUGAAAGCGGAGGACCUUCGGGCUUCGCGCAGAUAGAUGAGCCGACGUCGGAUUAGCUAGUUGGCGGGGUAAAGGCCCACCAAGGCGACGAUCCGUAGCUGGUCUGAGAGGAUGAUCAGCCACACUGGAACUGAGACACGGUCCAGACUCCUACGGGAGCAGCAGUGGGAAUAUUGGACAAUGGGCGCAAGCCUGAUCCAGCCAUGCCGCGUGUGUGAAGAAGGCCUUCGGUUGUAAAGCACUUUUUGAACGGUAAGAAAAGUCUUUACGGUUAAUACCCGGUAAGUUCUGACGGUACCGUAAGAAUAAGCAACCGGCUAACUUCG
This 492-nucleotide ribosomal RNA is filed under the name uncultured soil bacterium. RNAcentral describes it as "bacterial SSU rRNA". It matches the Rfam family "Bacterial small subunit ribosomal RNA", at positions 26 to 505 of the family's 1533-position model. The record is from RNAcentral.